RNAcentral lists this small RNA (80 nucleotides) under Escherichia coli. RNAcentral's name for it is "RtT sRNA". It matches the Rfam family "RtT RNA", at positions 33 to 112 of the family's 130-position model. From Rfam's summary of the family: This family represents a bacterial cis-regulatory element known as RtT RNA. The exact function of RtT is unknown although it is thought that it may be involved in changing the cellular response in relation to amino acid starvation. The record is from RNAcentral. Lineage: Bacteria; Pseudomonadati; Pseudomonadota; Gammaproteobacteria; Enterobacterales; Enterobacteriaceae.
NGGGGGAGGUUCGACUCGAGCGAAGCGAGAGAACGUUGCGCCAGCAACGGCCCGCAGGGCGAGCCACGAAGUGGCGAGUA